GUGACCCGGAUGACCGACAACAUCCAUAGACAUCAAGUCAACGUGUGAGCACUUCCGGGGUGGGGCUUACGUUUGACUGACAGCCCUGCGGACCAAUCACCGCGCCCUUCCCGCCAAACUGGCUCCACUGUAGAAGUGACAAUGGCGUAGCAGAGGAGCGGCAGGGGACGCCUUUUGUUCCCGGACUCCCUUUGCCGCUUUCCUCUUCUGCGGGGAAGCUCUGUGUUUCAUUCCUCGACGGGGUUUAGUCGUGUGACGAGACAGGAAGCGAAGAAAGCGGACGGUGUGACCGUGGAAGAAGAAGAAGUCCUUCAGCCAUUGUUUAGCAGUGUGUGCUAACAUCUUCCUCAUCCUCAUCCUCCUCUGCAGCAUCCUUCUUCUGCAUCAUCAUCAUCAUCACUUUCAGGAUGGACGCCCGAUCCAGACUGGACGGACUCCACUGGGACCGCCGCUGCCUCGCCGGUCUGUGGUGAACUGUGAACAUGACCUCCAUGGGGAGGUCAGGGCCUGAGGGAGGGGGGUUUCUUCAGCCCCCCUCCAGAGUGAGGAUGUCGGGUCCAACAUAGUUUGUUUUAUUUCAAUCGUUUUUCCUGUAAAGACACAAAAUGCUGUAGCGACUCAUCAUCAACAUCAGUGCUGCCUCCCAGCCAACAUGAUGCUAAGCAGCAGAAACACAAUUAAUGAUCUCUGGGCAUCUGCUGUGAUUUUUUUUGUUGUCAUCUUCUUUGCUAGAACCGGAAUUAGUCUCCUGGUUUGGUGGUCUUUUGACAUCCACACCCCGUCUCAUGAUGCUGAGCCAGGCCGCCUUUUCCUGAUUUGAAAAAGGUACUUUUGUAUGAGAAGCGAUGCGGGAUGUGUGCAAUAUUCAAUCUAAACUGUCAUGUUGUUGAGCAAGCUGUAUAUUGUGUAAACGAGUGACACGUUGUUUGACAAAGCAACAAAAUCACCAACGUCUUCCAUUAAAGAUUUGUAUAGUCUCACAUUAGAGCUCAUUGCAGGCCCUCUAGAACGUAGUCAGCAUGCAUGGAUUUAUGCUUCCUGGCCAGUAGUGAGCACAAACAACACUUUUGGACUUUUUAGGGAUGUUUUCAAACUUAAAAUCAACCUAUUUUUUAUCCAAAUGGGUCUGGAAUUAUUUAGUUUCAGCUCACACGGUCCCACAAAAAAAACCCCCAGUGUACCUUAAUGCAUCACAGUAAGCCAUGUGACGUUUUCUUUUCCUAUUGGCUCAUUAACGGCAAGAAUGACAUCACUAUCAUAAACAGGAAGAAGGCACGUCGUUAACGCAGCAAACACGUCCUUUAUUGAUAACUUCAACAAACAUAAGAAUGUACCAGCAGACCAAAGUAUUUACAGUAAGUAGCCGAGCAUUUAAUUAAAAAGGACGUCACCGAGAAAUUGUUGUCUUUCACACACCAGAAAGAUGAAGUGACAUUACCAUGAAUUGAUGAAGGUGGACCCCGACUUAAACAAGUUGAAGAACUUAAUCGGGUGUUACUGCUGAAAAUUGUACUUUUCCUGAAGGAACUCUCCUGACAGAAUAAAUAAAGUACUAUCUAUCUAUCUACUGUGAACUGUGCAAUCUGCUAAUACAAGUUUCAAUCAAUCAAUCAAUCAAAACGUAAACGACAUCCGUGCUGUUUUUUUGAUGAGUCAGGCGGUCGGUUUGCUUCCAUUCCUCUUUUUAGUGUGUUAGAGGUUUAUUCCUCAACAACUAUAUCCUUAUCUAUACAAUUAUGCUUAACAGUGUUAUAAUCAUUCAAGUUGUAAAAAAACAAAUAGUUUUUGCAGUUUCAUUUACUACUCAGACCUUCUUCCUGUUUGUCGUAGGUCACGUGAUGUUGUUCUUUUUGCGAAGGAACGUCGCAUAUUUACCUUAUUUGUAACUUCACUAUUAAUAAACUAGAGUAUUUGGUUAAACCAGGAGUGUCCAAAGUGCAGCCCGGGGGCCAUUUGUGGCCCGCAGCUAAUCCUUUACCGGCCCGCCACACAUUCUGGAAAAAUUGCAAAAUUGAUAGUAUUGCAAAAAUUUUAAAAAACAUUAAAAAAAGUGAAAUGAGGUGAAAUCUAAUGAGAAAAAGUGGCAAUGUUGACACAAAGCUGCCAUGCAGGCAGUUUUUUUUGUUCCUUUUGUCUUUAUUUUAUUUUCUUUCCAUUGCUCAAAAAAAAAGACAAAAAAAUCUGUUAUAAUGAAUUAUUACUUAAAAAUUAUCACUUUAAAAAAUAUUGCAAUGUUGUGUGGUUGCCAUAUAAAAACAUCAGUUUGACAAAAGAGCAUAAAACAAACAAAAUAAUAGUUCAAACUUAAAAUUGACAGAUAUAUUAGAAGUUGAUCUUGAAAUUUAAGUGUUAAAAGAAAAAAACAAAUAAAAAUGCAUCACUUUAUGAGUGGGGAACCUUUCGGAUCUCAAAUAUAUUUAGUAGGAUUUUAUUGAACUUUUCACUGUGAUUACUCAUAAAUAUGAAAUAAUUAAAAUCAAUGGUGUCCUGCAUUAUUGAUCUUUGAGGGCUUUAAUUGCUAAAUAAAGGAACUCUCCUGAAGAAAUCAAUAAAGUACUAUCUAUCUAUCUAAAUACUGCAUAUUUCAGUUUUACUAUAAAAAACAAAAUUGUCUUUGACAAAAAAGGCAUAAAACCUUAUUUGUUUUACUUUAUAUCAACCUCAAGUUGAUAUAGAGAUUUACUGUCAGCAUUAAAUUAAAAAAAUUAUAAUAAUUUAACUUAUUUUUAACAUUUUAAUGACUGAGACCCUCUAUGCUCCCCAAAAUCCAUAUAUUUUGUUAUGGUUCGAAAAUGAAAAAUAUCAAAAUGGCCCCCGCAUGUUUACAUUUUUUCCGUGUGCGGCCCUCUGUGGAAAAAGUUUGGACACCCCUGGGUUAAACCAUUCAUUCUUCUUUUCUAAGGGGUUAAUGCCGCGGGAUUAUUUACCCGAUUCUGCUUAACAGUUCAAAUAAUUGUUUCGAGGUGUCAAAAAGCCAAAUGGUCUUCCUGUUUACUUCAUGACGUCGACCAAUGGGAGAAGAGAGCGAUGUCACAUGGCUCGGUCGGAGAGAAUUGUCGUCAUUUAUUACGUCAACAGAGCCGAAAUACAUUGUCGAUUUAUUUCAUGUAAAAUAACAUUUAAUUAUUCAAUUAAUAAUUGAUUAAAUGUUUAUUAUUGUCACAUAAUUGAUACACAGGUAAUCAUUUAAUUUAGUCUCAUUUGAGCAAAAUAUACCCAUUUUUAAGUGUGAAAGCAUCCCAUAAAUAUUUGCCCCUAAAAAAAAAAAGGUAUAAUCUAAAUGUGAUAUGAGAAUAUAAUUAAAAUAACUGAUGCAUGUUUAAUAAUUAGUGUAUUUAAAGAAGGUUCUAUUCCAAAAAGUAUUUUAAUUGCAGCAAUAUUCAUUCACUAGAAUUUAAAAAAGUAUAAUUCCCCCCUCCUGGUGGCAUCGUGUUGUGUAAAACAAGCCCACUGUUUUGCAAACAAAUCCAUCAAAUUGUACAGGAUUAGGCUUGUAGAAGUACUAAUAAUGCAUGAGUAUAGUGUUGUACUCCCUCUUGUAGCUCCAUAUAAUCACAUCUUUAUCCCUGUAGAUAAAUGUUUGUUUUACUUUAGUUGUUACAAAACAUGUCCCAUCAUUCCAGAAAGAAGCACUUUUAUAUGUACUGCCUUGCACUCUCUUUUAAAAUAAGGCUUUGAAGGACUUUUGAAGGGGUUUUUUUGCGAGUAGGCACAUAGUAGCAGUAAUAUGAAGUUAAUAAAACAAACAUAUGCAUGGGUUAGCAGACAUGAUUGUAAUGCAUGCAAUAAUACAACUUUGUCACGUGAAUGAGGAUGCGUGUUUGUAAACGUAGCAGGCAUGUUGUAGCUUUUCUUCCUCUCCCAAAAAGGCGCACAAAAAAAGUGUCGACAAAAUGAAGAUGAGGAUAUUGUCGACUGACUCUGUAAAAGUGAAAAAAAACUAUGCACUCCAGAAUGAUGUGAGGGGGCAUGCUUGUAGCAACGUUAGCAUCUUGAAGGGGUUUUCUACAAACAAAUGAAGACUCUGUAUUAGAAACGCAGCAAUAAUAACUAUCAUGUAAUAAUAAAAAUGCAGCAUGGUGCCAACAACAA
Molecule: long non-coding RNA, 4092 nt
Organism: Nerophis ophidion (straightnose pipefish)
Lineage: Eukaryota; Metazoa; Chordata; Actinopteri; Syngnathiformes; Syngnathidae
Exons: 2
Source: RefSeq, a predicted model, not a curated record